This is a long non-coding RNA of Zingiber officinale, 626 nucleotides long. RefSeq lists it as uncharacterized. The record is from RefSeq and is a predicted model, not a curated record. The transcript has 4 exons. Lineage: Eukaryota; Viridiplantae; Streptophyta; Magnoliopsida; Zingiberales; Zingiberaceae.
GUCGCAAAAAUCGCAAUAAUCCCAAUCCCUCCCGUGCCCUAAUUAUUUUUCUUCUCUUCUCCAGCAGCUCGUGCGGCGGCGACGAACCUUCUGCCCUAUUCCGGCCACGAUCUCCAACAGGUUUGUACACCGACGCAGUUUGGAGAGACGCUCAUUGUUGUUUUCCUUUGCAGACAAAAUGCAGAAUGAAAGAAGUUGGAUGUAUAAGAAGAAUUUGCCUAAUCGUCGGGGUUUAUAAAGGACAGGGAUGAAGAAAUGAGAGAAAUGCGUCGACAACAAGAUUUUAUUAUGCGGCAUCUUCAGUUAAGUUCUGUUUCAAGUCAAAUUCCUCCCGGUGAUGGUGAUGAUGGUGAUGAUGAUGAUGGCGAUGGUGGUGAUUCUUGAUAAAUUUAUGGAAAAGAAGCAUGGAAGGCGACCGAAGCUCCUGAGACAUGACGAUAUGUAUUUUAUUUUCCUUUGGAUGUCUUGUUACAUUUGUUGUUUGGAUUGUUAGAACUUUCAUGUUUGAUAUUAUGAGUUGUUGAACUUGUUUGGAUUUUGACUAGUUGUAUAUAUGAAUAUGACGUGUUUAGUUUUGGAAUGAUUUGUUUGGAUAUAAGAUAUAUGGAUUAUGGAUGUGUUGGAUA